This 397-nucleotide transfer RNA is filed under the name Geobacillus thermocatenulatus. RNAcentral's name for it is "partial 16S-23S ribosomal RNA intergenic spacer". The stretch from base 31 to 103 matches the Rfam family "tRNA". Lineage: Bacteria; Bacillati; Bacillota; Bacilli; Caryophanales; Anoxybacillaceae. The record is from RNAcentral.
GUGGUUCAAGUCCACUUAGGCCCAUUGGAUGGGGCCUUAGCUCAGCUGGGAGAGCGCCUGCUUUGCAAGCAGGAGGUCAUCGGUUCGAUCCCGAUAGGCUCCACCAUAUGAAUGAUCUUUAAGGAAAACAGGCGAUGUUUCGUGCCUGUGCCUGCGUCUUCUAGCAGAUUCGAGGAAGUGGGAUUCCUCGAUGCAAGACUGCAGAGAAGCAAAUUCAAGAAGCAGUCUCGUUCCUUGAAAACUAGAUAACCGGAAAGAAAAGCGGAGGCGCCGCGUUUGGCUCUCGAAGCCAAAUGUUCUUCACCCAGAGGGGUGUUGGCACCCCGAGGGGGAAGGUUAUUUGGCAGAAGAGAGCCAGGCGCCGACGCGAGACAGCAAGGAAGAASNGAAGAGCGCA